RNAcentral lists this ribosomal RNA (440 nucleotides) under uncultured bacterium. RNAcentral's name for it is "partial 16S ribosomal RNA". It matches the Rfam family "Bacterial small subunit ribosomal RNA", at positions 338 to 795 of the family's 1533-position model. The record is from RNAcentral.
CCUACGGGUGGCAGCAGUGGGGAAUAUUGCACAAUGGGGGAAACCCUGAUGCAGCCACGCCGCGUGAGUGAAGAAGUAUUUCGGUUUGUAAAGCACUAUCAGCAGGGAGGAAAAUGACGGUACCUGAUUAAGAAGCGCCGGCUAACUACGUGCCAGCAGCCGCGGUAAUACGUAGGGGGCAAGCGUUAUCCGGUUUUACUGGGUGUAAAGGGAGCGUAGACGGCAGCACAAGUCUGGUGUGAAAUGACGGGGCUUAACCCCGGAACUGCUUUGGAAACUGUGCAGCUAGAGUGCAGGAGAGGUAAGUAGAAUUCCUGGUGUAGCGGUGAAAUGCGUAGAGAUUAGGAGGAAUACCAGUGGCGAAGGCGGCUUACUGGACUAUAACUGACGUUGAGGCGCGAAAGCGUGGGGAGCAAACAGGAUGAGAUACCCUUGUAGUC